This 247-nucleotide ribosomal RNA is filed under the name uncultured bacterium. Its description in RNAcentral is "partial 16S ribosomal RNA". It matches the Rfam family "Bacterial small subunit ribosomal RNA", at positions 86 to 334 of the family's 1533-position model. The record is from RNAcentral.
AGAUGGCGACCGGCGCACGGGUGAGUAACACGUAUCCAACCUGCCGAUAACUCGGGGAUAGCCUUUCGAAAGAAAGAUUAAUACCCGAUGGCAUAAUAGAACCGCAUGGUUUGAUUAUUAAAGAAUUUCGGUUAUCGAUGGGGAUGCGUUCCAUUAGGCAGUUGGUGGGGUAACGACCCACCAAACCUUCGAUGGAUAGGGGUUCUGAGAGGAAGGUCCCCCACAUUGGAACUGAGACACGGUCCAA